CUACGGACGAAAACAAACGACAAAAGAAGAACGACGUCCAUCCUUGCUAUCCCAGGCUGCCGGCCUGGAACCCAUCCUAGAUCGAUGAAGAAGAAGAAGAAGAGGCAACUCCAAAAGAACAAUCAACGCGCUCGCGUCAAGUAACCUUUACCUGUACCUGCAACUGGUGUUGUAGUAAUCUGUGAGCCACAGGGGACUCAGCAAUCUCAUUUCCAAAGGUAUCAAGACUAGCAAAGCUUAAUGGGUGAGGCAUGGUUAAGUGGUGAGGUUGCAGCAGCGACUAAGCAUAUAUUUGGUGGCUAACUUACAAGUACCAGAAAUAAGAGGGGGAAGAUCUACGCAUAGCGGACGUGACUACUGAUGAUCAAAUGAAUGAUCCUGAACACCAACCUACGUCAGACAUAACCCCACCGUGUCCUCGAUCGGAGAAGGAACUCACGAAAGAGACAGUCACGGUUACGCACAUAGUUGGCCAAUUUUAAUUAAGUUAACUUCAAGUUAUCUAGAACCAGUGUUAAACAAAGCUUCCACAUUGCCACAUAACCGUGGGCACGGCUUUCCGAAAAGAUUUAACCUUGCAGGGGUGCUCCAACUAGUCCAUCACAAAUUAUCACAAGCCGCAUAGAAAUCCUCAAUCACGAAGCUCGCGAUCUCGUCGGAUCCCCUAGGGGAAAACCUCAACUCUGAGAUUACCCAAAGCAUCACCGGAAUCCUGAUGCACAAGAUAUUUCGUCAAAGGUAAAACUAAUCCAGCAAGGCCGCCCGACGUGUCGACGAUCCCGAUAGGAGUCGCGUACCUCGAUCUCAGGACACGAUGGAUGAGCGAUGGUUACCACGCCAAACGCCGAGUUGCCCCGGGUAGCGUUAAUAAGCUGCUCUGUUUUGGACCAACACUCAUGAGGAGCACUAGCCCGGGGGUUGAUUAAAUUAUCCUCGGGACCCGGGAAGUCCCUAUGCAAUUUUAUUAGGUGAUUAGGCAAAUGUAGUACCAAAGUUGGGCCUUGCCAGACCAGUCUUAAUCUAAACGAAUUAUCAAGGGGGUCCCCAUAACAACCCCGAUCGUGUUAGGGGCGCUCAAUUAUGGAACAUAACACCGGUAGCCGAAACUAAGGGGGCAAAAGUGGAACAAAACACCAGGCUAGAAAGGCCGAGCCUUCCACCUUUUACCAGGUAUAUAGGUGCAUUAAAUUAAAUAGCAUUUAAAUAUGGUGAUAUAACAAGGAACCCAUGUUAUCACAUGGAAGCAACUGCACCUGCAACUAGCAACGCUAACACAGGGUUAAGCAAGCAGGAACAUAGCCAAUCAGUGGUUUGCUAGGUCGAACAGGUUGAAGGUUGUCAUGGCAUUGUUGAGAGGCUGAUAUUUAACAGGUGGUAGGCAACGAGACAUAAUCGAUAGAAGCGAUAAAACUAGCAUGGCAAUGAUAGUAAUGGUAUCUGGGGAAAUGAUCAUCUUGCCUGAGAUCCCGCUUGGAAGAAGAAUGCCUCCGUGAAGCAGACGAACCGACGCAGUCGCACGGGUCCUCACAUCCGACAUGCUUGCGGAACUCUAUCGAGACGGGGAAACCGGAAACAAGCAUCAACACACGAUAUUCACCACACGAUGCACAACACAAAUGAUGAAUGAACAGUUGAAAACAGGCAAGUCACGGCAAGACAAUCCCCACAAUCAAACACUACACAUUAAGUGAAGUUCAAUAUGCACGAGUUGCAUAUUGACGAAACUCCACGUUAAUUAUUUAGUUCACUCCCGAUUAUCUCCACGGCAAUAUUAAUGUUGUCAAACAUGCAAGGGGUGAAGCGGAAAUUACACUACCUAUCUAGGCAUUUUAAAUGAGGUCGGAAAUGACAUAUAGCAUCUCCGAGACGACCUCACAUGUUAAUUCACAAUUCUGUCCAGAUCUGAACUAAUGCAUUUAAUUAGUUGUUAAACAGAAAAAAAUAGGUUCACGUGAUUCUACGUGUCAAGGCAAGCAAUCUACACGUAAAGAACAUCUCCAACGGAGCUACGGUUCAAAAGAUACAAGCACCGCAAGAUAUGAUGACAUGAAUGCAAAAUGUGUGCAACGACGGCUAUGAGCACUUCAAAACAUACAAACAACAAGAGAAAAUGAAACUACACGAGAUUCUAAGAAAGUUUCUUGUAGGACUCGAUCAAAACGGAGCUACGGUUCACAAACUACGAGCAAAACAAUAAAUCUCUACAAUCUGCCAAAAUCAGCCACAUAGCACUUUCUACGCCCCACAACUACGAGCUACACAACUCCGAUAUUCUCAAGCAAGGCAUGGCACGGAAGAGGGCAAGAAGCACUACUACGAACAGCUAACAACAACUAGCAUGGCAUCAUGGAUCACUAGAGAAAGAAGUCACAAAAAGGCAUCACACUCACUAUUUCAGACUUAGUGAAAAUAACACCUCAUGAAAGUGCNNNNNNNNNNNNNNNNNNNNNNNNNNNNNNNNNNNNNNNNNNNNNNNNNNNNNNNNNNNNNNNNNNNNNNUUUAAAUAUGGUGAUAUAACAAGGAACCCAUGUUAUCACAUGGAAGCAACUGCACCUGCAACUAGCAACGCUAACACAGGGUUAAGCAAGCAGGAACAUAGCCAAUCAGUGGUUUGCUAGGUCGAACAGGUUGAAGGUUGUCAUGGCAUUGUUGAGAGGCUGAUAUUUAACAGGUGGUAGGCAACGAGACAUAAUCGAUAGAAGCGAUAAAACUAGCAUGGCAAUGAUAGUAAUGGUAUCUGGGGAAAUGAUCAUCUUGCCUGAGAUCCCGCUUGGAAGAAGAAUGCCUCCGUGAAGC
Molecule: long non-coding RNA, 2797 nt
Filed under: Hordeum vulgare
Lineage: Eukaryota; Viridiplantae; Streptophyta; Magnoliopsida; Poales; Poaceae
Description: long non-coding RNA (HVUL_LNC002998)
Source: RNAcentral